This 497-nucleotide ribosomal RNA is filed under the name uncultured bacterium. RNAcentral's name for it is "partial 16S ribosomal RNA". It matches the Rfam family "Bacterial small subunit ribosomal RNA", at positions 28 to 507 of the family's 1533-position model. The record is from RNAcentral.
GAUGAACGCUGGCGGCGUGCCUAAUACAUGCAAGUCGAGCGAACAGACGAGGAGCUUGCUCCUCUGACGUUAGCGGCGGACGGGUGAGUAACACGUGGAUAACCUACCUAUAAUACUGGGAUAACUUCGUGAAACCGGAGCUACUACCGGAUAAUAUAUUGAACCGCAUGGUUCAAUAGUGAAAGACGGUUUUGCUGUCACUUAUAGAUGGAUCCGCGCCGCAUUAGCUAGUUGGUAAGGUAACGGCUUACCAAGGCAACGAUGCGUAGCCGACCUGAGAGGGUGAUCGGCCACACUGGAACUGAGACACGGUCCAGACUCCUACGGGAGGCAGCAGUAGGGAAUCUUGCGCAAUGGGCGAAAGCCUGACGGAGCAACGCCGCGUGAGUGAUGAAGGUCUUCGGAUCGUAAAACUCUGUUAUUAGGGAAGAACAAAUGUGUAAGUAACUAUGCACGUCUUGACGGUACCUAAUCAGAAAGCCACGGCUAACUACGUG